This 382-nucleotide long non-coding RNA is filed under the name Olea europaea subsp. europaea. Lineage: Eukaryota; Viridiplantae; Streptophyta; Magnoliopsida; Lamiales; Oleaceae. The record is from RNAcentral.
CAAGACUUGGGACUCGUUUGACAAAGUUUCUGAAAAGUCAAAAGUUACUUCUAAAAUUAAGAAGUUAUUUUUGAACAUGUUUAGAUAACUUUAUAAAAAGACUUUCACACAAUUCAAUAUGCUAAACAUGUCAUUAGUGCCUUGGGACAAAAUUUCGUGUGCUCAAGAACCAAUUUUUAUUAGCCCUUGACCUCCAUUAAAUUAAAAUUCAUUUUUUCUCUCAUCUUAUAAAUCACGUGUUUUUUCAAUAAAAUAAUGUUUCAAAACCUAAGAAGUUUUUCUUUCUUUUUAAUCACACAUUCUUCAACAAAUUACUAUUCAUUUCAUUAUAAUUUGAAAAAAUGGAGCCCAAACGAGGGCUUAAUGUAUCGAUUUACUAUUG